This 355-nucleotide ribosomal RNA is filed under the name Escherichia coli. Its description in RNAcentral is "partial 23S ribosomal RNA". It matches the Rfam family "Bacterial large subunit ribosomal RNA", at positions 1292 to 1649 of the family's 2925-position model. The record is from RNAcentral. Lineage: Bacteria; Pseudomonadati; Pseudomonadota; Gammaproteobacteria; Enterobacterales; Enterobacteriaceae.
GAAUGCUGACAUAAGUAACGAUAAAGCGGGUGAAAAGCCCGCUCGCCGGAAGACCAAGGGUUCCUGUCCAACGUUAAUCGGGGCAGGGUGAGUCGACCCCUAAGGCGAGGCCGAAAGGCGUAGUCGAUGGGAAACAGGUUAAUAUUCCUGUACUUGGUGUUACUGCGAAGGGGGGACGGAGAAGGCUAUGUUGGCCGGGCGACGGUUGUCCCGGUUUAAGCGUGUAGGCUGGUUUUCCAGGCAAAUCCGGAAAAUCAAGGCUGAGGCGUGAUGACGAGGCACUACGGUGCUGAAGCAACAAAUGCCCUGCUUCCAGGAAAAGCCUCUAAGCAUCAGGUAACAUCAAAUCGUACCC